Non-coding RNA from Pelobates cultripes (western spadefoot toad), 4297 nucleotides. The record is from the annotation of a GenBank genome assembly. NCBI's taxonomy places the organism in Eukaryota, Metazoa, Chordata, Amphibia, Anura, Pelobatidae.
GCAGGAUUAAAAGUAAAAUAGCCUGCAUGUAUCAGGGGCCAUUAAAAAAAAAAAAAAAAGUUUAUAUAUUUUUUUUGACAGCAUAAUCCUUUUUUUUAAAACAAUGGUCUUAAUUAACCCUGUCUUUUCCAUGAGAGCUAAAGAAGAUUUGUUCUACACAUGCUGCUUUUAAAAUAAAGGGUGGGAUACCCAUGCAACAAGGGGGUUAAAUUAAUUCAAAAACCUUCCCCUACAGUGGCGAGCUGAUAUUUUAAAUACUGAUUUCAAUAAGAACACAAAAACGUAAUUACGACAUUUUUUUUUUUUUUUUAUAUUGGUAUGCAAAAUAUUUCAUUAAGAAGAUUUAAGGAGCAUAUUUCAACAUUUUAUUAAAAUUAUACCGAUUUGUGGUUUAAAAAAAUAAUAUUGUCAAAAUGCCAGGUUUCUAUUGAAUUUGUAAUAUAUGUAUUCCCUAUUUAUGUCCUGUGAUUCUACAUGAAGUAGGUUAUAAUAACCUACCUACGGAAAUUUAGAGAAGUUUACAAUUGAUUUUUAUUUAAAGUCUGUUUUAUUUUGGGUCUACAGGAAAAAUUACUAUUAUUAUUAUGCCAGGACACAAAAAUGUUCCAUUUGCUUAAUUUCCAUAUAAUUGCACCACAGGAAACAGAAAUAAUUUGUUUUGGGGGGGUGGGUUGCACAGAGUGACAUAUUGUUAGGGAUUGUUAAACUGUAUUCAUCACCCAUUGGUCUGCCUUAGGUAAAAUUACAUAAAUUAAGUAUCUAUAAUUAUACCACAGUAUUACUGAGCUAUCCAAUACACAAUACUGGCAUCAGCAAUUUAGCAUUUUAAAGUUUUGGAAUGAACUCCCAUUAGCCAGAUGCCAUUUAAUAAUGUUAUAUGAUUAAAUGUGUCAAAUCAUAGUUUUCAGAAUUGUUGUUAAAAGCAAAAUUUGUGGUCAGACUAAACAACAGGAUUAACACGGCACAGGGAAGACUCGGGAUUGAAAAUGGCAAAUCUUUAAAGAUCCCACUUGGUCUAAAAUAUUCAAAUCUUGGCAGCUCCUCCCAAAUUGAAAACAAUCAAAACUGGGAAGUCCUUUAGGUAUAAAACCGUAAAAUAUGGGGAAAUCCCAGUAUGUGGUCUUAUUAGCCCAAUAUUUGACUCUAGGCUGGGCCAACACAGUUGAGCCACUCUAUACUCUUCUGCUAGCCAAACUUUAUUUCUCUGUAUUUCCACCCAAUACGUUGACUGCUGCCAGGUCAAACUCUGUUAAUUUAUUUAUCGACUUCCAAGCGAAUUUCCAUUACCAAUGUAAGUUAAACUGCUUUGAAACACAGAUUAAGCCAUAUACACUGAUUAGCCACAUUAAAACCACUGAAAGUUGAAGUGAAUAACAUUGAUUAUAUCAUUACAAUGGCAGCUGUUAAGGGGUAGGAUAUAUUAGGCAGCAAGUGAACAGUCAGUUUUUAAAUUCCAUGUGUUGGUAAAGUUUGCAAGAGAAAAGACCUGAGUGACAGUGACAAGGGCUAAAUAGUUAUGGCUAGAUGACUCUGUCAGAGCAUCUCCAAAAUGCCAAGUCAUGUGGGGUGUUCCUGGUAUGUAGUGGUUAGUACCUACCAAAAGUGGUGCAAAUAAGGAGAACCAGUAAACCGGCGGCAGGGUCAUAAGCCCCCAAGGCUCGUUGAUCAAUGUGGGGAGUGAAGGCUAGCCCAUGUGGUCCAAUCACAUAGUACUGAAUCUCAAAUUGCUGAAAAACUAAAUGCUGGCCAUGAUGGAAAGAUGUUGUGAAGAUGUUGCAAUUUGUUGCCUAUGGGGCUGUAUGGCCGCAGACCGGUUGAGAGUGCCCAUGAUGACCAAUGUUUACUGCCAAAAGUACAUUCAAUUGGGACGUAAGCAUCAGAACAGGACCAUGGAGCAAUUGAAGAAGAUUGCUUGGUCUGAUGAAUCACAUUUUCUUUUGGAUCAGGUGGAUGACUGGGGGUGUGUGUCGUUUACAUGGAGAAAAGAUGGCAGCAGGAUGCAGUAUGGGAAGAAGACAGGUCAGAGAAGGCAGUGUUAUGCUUUAGGUAAUGUCCUGGCAUUCAUGUGGAUGUUACUUUGACAUGUACCCCCUACUUACAGAUUGUUGCAGACCACGUACACCAUGGCGAUGGUGUUCCUUAAUGGCAUUGACCCCAUUCAACAGGAUAAUGCACCCUGUCACACCACAAAAAAUGUUCAGGAAUGGUUUGAAGAGUAUGACAAAGAGUUCAAGGUGUUGCGCUGGCCUCCAAAUUCUCCAGAUUACAAUUAGAUAGAGCAUCUUUGGGAUGUACUGGAACAACAAAUCCAAUCCAUGGUGGCCCCACCUUACAACUUGCAGGAUCUGCUCAUAAAUAUGUCUUGAUGCCAGAUAUCACAGGACACAUUCAGAGGACAUAGUUCACGCCUUGAUGCAUGACAAGUGUUCUGGCAGCAUGAGGGAGACCUACACAAUAUUAGGCAGGUGGUUUUAAUGUUGUGGCUGAUCAGUGUAUGUUUUAAUUUCUGUUAACACAAAUCCCAUGUAUGAGCUUUCUUAGUUUAUAUGUAAUAAAUAUCCAGACAUGUAGAUACAUGUUUGGGUGGUCAGCGCUCCCAUUUAACUAAAAUAUACAUAAUUUUAAUUAAUGGACAAUAUUAAUUUUCUAUAUGAUUUCCAUAUUAAAUAAAAGGAUUGGUCAAGCCUGCAACAUGUCUUCACAAAUGUCUCCACUAAACACAGGAUCCUGGUCUUAAUAUUUAUUUCUGACAAUAUCGAUUAAAACAAUGCAUUUUAAAAUUGGAAACUAUUUAAAACAAAUACCAGGCAUUUUUAUGACAUGUAUGCCUCUUUACAAGUCAGCUGUGCUCAUAAUGUGUAUAUAAGCAGAUUUCAGUAUCUUUAUUUUAUUUUAGUCGUUUUCUGCCCACAAACCAAGUUGGAGACAGAAGAAGUGACUAAAGUGGUCUUUCUAACCCCAAAACAUCAUUUCAACCAAGUUGAUUUAAUAGCUGGAGUCCCUGGGGUCCAUCUUACCUUAAGAUGUUCUAUUGUUUUUUUAUUUUCUCUGAUUGGGCGCAGGUGACUGACUGAGAAUGUCAGCUGAUGCAGGACGUACUGUUACUUGCUGAUUCAGGACAUACUCGCUAAUCCAAUACUUACUGUAUUCGUUAUGGGCAGCCAGGGAUAGGCAGAGAAUGUUGGCUGUUUCUCUCAGCCAAUCAUUGACACCAAAUGUUUCCUCUGCUCAGUACAGUAGCCAAGCAGAGAAGUAAAAUAUUAAGCACUGGCACUUGGGGAGCAUCUUCUGUGUUAAACUAUUUCAAAACCAUUAAACCACUUUAAAGGAACACUCAGACCUCUUAAGCACUUUAGCUUGCCGAAAUGCUUUACAUGUGAAGAGUGUGUCCUCGUGUUUAAAGAUAUUUUGCAAAAAGCGAUCAUCCAAUAGUAAGUUUGAUAAAUUGCCCCUUCCGGCUUACAAGAAGACAACAGUCCUGUUACUUUCUGGUUUGUUUAGCGCAGUGGAGCUAAACUCAAGAGGCAGCAAUUGCCCAAAGCACUUGCAGGGUUAAGGGUAGUGGGAGUUGGCACCCAGACCACUUCAAUGGGCAGAAGUGUUCUUGGUGCCUGGAGUGUCCCUUAGUAAGAUGGCUGCCAGGGACGCCAGCUCUCAGAACAAUUUCACUGAGACGAAGUUGCUUUAAGGGGUAGAAAUAAAUUAAAUUUGAACUUUCAUGAAAGAUUAUCUUGUGUUAAUAUAUUAAUAUAUGCUACUUUGCAAAAUCCUAAAAUCCUUAAACCUUUAGCCUUAAAGCUAUUAGGCUUUUAUUCAUUCAUUGAACCAUUCUUGAAGGCAUCUCUCUUAGUGCAAGUCAGUCACAGGGCAUAUUAGGCUGCUGUCACUGGUCCACACAGUUAGAGAGACCUUCUGCUGCCCGUAGAAUACUCAGUGAGCACAGCAGCUCCCACUGGUGGGAGGACCAACAAACACUAAUUUAUUAUUAUUACUAAAGCCUACAGUCAGCACAUUACAAAAAAGCAUAGAUUAAUAUAUGUUACUACAUCGUGAAAAACAAAUGUUAUGGGGUAAGCUUUCCUGAAAGUUUUAUGAAUGUUCGAUUAUCAGGACACCCCUGUUAGAGGCCAUCAUAAGAAUUAUUUGGAAAACCAUCUGGAGAUAUAUAAUAAAUUUAAUAAACACAGAGAUGGGGGCUUAAGAUAAUAUAAUUGAGGGGAAGGUCUAAUGCUAAAUAUAAUUUGAAAUGAUACUGUCACUGAGUUAUCUUGUUCCUAGUUUUCUCAAGGCAUCCUAC